GUCCUUUUGAUUUUUAUAUAAGGUCUGACCUGCCCUAUGAAUAUUUAAAUGGCCGCGGUAUACUAACCGUGCAAAGGUAGCAUAGUCAUUUGUCUCUUAAUUGGAGGCUUGAAUGAAGGGUUGGACGAGAUAUAAGCUUUCUUUGUUAUAUUUUAUUGAAUUUGACUUUUGAGUUAAAAGGCUUAAAUUUUUUUAUAGGACGAGAAGACCCUAUAGAAUUUUAUAUGUUUGUAUAAUUAAUUUAUUUAUUUAUUAUUUAAUUUCUUGUUUAAAUAUAUUUUGUUGGGGCGAUGGGAAGAUUUUAAUAACUCUUUUUUGUUUUGAUCAUUGAUUUAUGUUUUAUUCUGAUCCUUUUUUAGAGAUUAUAAGAUUAAAUUACCUUAGGGAUAACAGCGUAAUUCUUUUGGAGAGUUCUUAUCAAUAAAAGAGUUUGCGA
This 436-nucleotide ribosomal RNA is filed under the name Appasus japonicus. RNAcentral's name for it is "partial 16S ribosomal RNA". The record is from RNAcentral. Lineage: Eukaryota; Metazoa; Arthropoda; Insecta; Hemiptera; Belostomatidae.